UUGGGAAUCUUCGGCAAUGGACGAAAGUCUGACCGACCAACGCCGCGUGAGUGAAGAAGGUUUUCGGAUCGUAAAACUCUGUUGUUAGAGAAGAACAAGGACGUUAGUAACUGAACGUCCCCUGACGGUAUCUAACCAGAAAGCCACGGCUAACUACGUGCCAGCAGCCGCGGUAAUACGUAGGUGGCAAGCGUUGCCCGGAUUUAUUGGGCGUAAAUCGAGCGCAGGCGGUUUCUUAAGUCUGAUGUGAAAGCCCCCGGCUCAACCGGGGAGGGUCAUUGGAAACUGGGAGACUUGAGUGCAGAAGAGGAGAGUGGAAUUCCAUGUGUAGCGGUGAAAUGCGUAGAUAUAUGGCGGAACACCAGUGGCGAAGGCGGCUCUCUGGUCUGUAACUGACGCUGAGGCUCGAAAGCGUGGGGAGCAAACAGG
RNAcentral lists this ribosomal RNA (429 nucleotides) under Gemmatimonadota bacterium. RNAcentral's name for it is "Gemmatimonadetes bacterium partial 16S ribosomal RNA". It matches the Rfam family "Bacterial small subunit ribosomal RNA", at positions 355 to 776 of the family's 1533-position model. Lineage: Bacteria; Pseudomonadati; Gemmatimonadota. The record is from RNAcentral.